AGCGAACGCUAGCGGCAGGCUUAACACAUGCAAGUCGAACGCGUGCCUUCGGGCACGAGUGGCGAACGGGUGAGUAACACGUGGGUCACGUACCCUGAGGUGGGGGAUAACCCGAGGAAA
Molecule: ribosomal RNA, 120 nt
Filed under: uncultured bacterium
Lineage: Bacteria
Description: partial 16S ribosomal RNA
Rfam family: Bacterial small subunit ribosomal RNA
Source: RNAcentral